AGAUGUGAGAACCAUAUGGCUGCAACAUCUGUCACUCCACUGAUCACCAAGUUUGAUUCUACUUAUCUGGCUGGCAAAGUGGUGUUGCCUUCCUCUCUCACUAUACCAUGUGCAUCCCUCCGGAGAAGCAGAGCUGCAAAUCUGUGCAUACUCUGUGCUAGGUCAGAGCACCACCUUACUGGAAUGGAGACAGGGUGUCUUAAGUUGAACGUAAUAUGACGAACUGUAUUCCUGCUAGAAUCUCCAAGCAAGCUCUUCAGAAAUUCAGGGAAGACUGUCUAUUAAUCUUAUCUGACAUAUAUUCCUGUUAAAAAUUCACAGUAAACCAAUAAUGGAAUGGAUUUUUUCAAC
Molecule: non-coding RNA, 351 nt
Organism: Erinaceus europaeus (western European hedgehog)
Lineage: Eukaryota; Metazoa; Chordata; Mammalia; Eulipotyphla; Erinaceidae
Source: Rfam